GGAUGUGAGGGCGAUUUGGCUGCAACAUCUGUCACCCCACCGAUAGCCAGGGUUGGUUUGGCUAAUCUGGCUGGCUAGGCAGGUGUCCCCUUCCUCCCUCUCUACUGAAGCUGUGUGCUCAGCUGACGAGGACAACAUUCUCCGAAUAGAGACAGAACAGUCAAGUCGAGAGUCUACCAGUAGCUGCGCUUCCCUGCUAGAACCUCCUAACAAGCUGCCUUUCCUCUCAGAGAUGGUUAUCACAAUUCUUUCUCCCUCCUAGGA
RNAcentral lists this small nuclear RNA (264 nucleotides) under Erinaceus europaeus (western European hedgehog). RNAcentral's name for it is "7SK RNA". It matches the Rfam family "7SK RNA", at positions 1 to 254 of the family's 331-position model. From Rfam's summary of the family: 7SK was discovered as an abundant small nuclear RNA in the mid-70s but a possible function has only recently been suggested. Two independent studies have found that 7SK RNA binds the CDK9/cyclin T complex (known as elongation factor P-TEFb). The record is from Rfam by way of RNAcentral. Lineage: Eukaryota; Metazoa; Chordata; Mammalia; Eulipotyphla; Erinaceidae.